This 422-nucleotide ribosomal RNA is filed under the name Verrucomicrobiota bacterium. Its description in RNAcentral is "Verrucomicrobia bacterium partial 16S ribosomal RNA". It matches the Rfam family "Bacterial small subunit ribosomal RNA", at positions 355 to 776 of the family's 1533-position model. Lineage: Bacteria; Pseudomonadati; Verrucomicrobiota. The record is from RNAcentral.
UGGGGAAUUUUGCACAAUGGGCGCAAGCCUGAUGCAGCGACGCCGCGUGAGGGAUGAAGGCCUUCGGGUUGUAAACCUUUUUCGCUCAUGGUCAAGCCGCAGCUUUGGGUUGUGGUGAGGGUAGUGGGUAAAGAAGCGCCGGCUAACUACGUGCCAGCAGCCGCGGUAAUACGUAGGGCGCGAGCGUUGUCCGGAAUUAUUGGGCGUAAAGGGCUUGUAGGCGGUUGGCCGCGUCUGCCGUGAAAUCCUCUGGCUUAACUGGGGGCGUGCGGUGGGUACGGGUUGACUUGAGUGCGGUAGGGGAGACUGGAAUUCCUGGUGUAGCGGUGGAAUGCGCAGAUAUCAGGAGGAACACCGAUGGCGAAGGCAGGUUACUGGGCCGUUACUGACGCUGAGGAGCGAAAGCAUGGGGAGCGAACAGG